Molecule: ribosomal RNA, 485 nt
Filed under: uncultured bacterium
Lineage: Bacteria
Description: partial 16S ribosomal RNA
Rfam family: Bacterial small subunit ribosomal RNA
Source: RNAcentral
AUUGAACGCUGGCGGCAGGCUUAACACAUGCCAGUCGAGCGGGGAAAGGUAGCUUGCUACCUGACCUAGCGGCGGACGGGUGAGUAAUGCUUAGGAAUCUGCCUAUUAGUGGGGGACAACAUCUCGAAAGGGAUGCUAAUACCGCAUACGUCCUACGGGAGAAAGCAGGGGACCUUCGGGCCUUGCGCUAAUAGAUGAGCCUAAGUCGGAUUAGCUAGUUGGUGGGGUAAAGGCCUACCAAGGCGACGAUCUGUAGCGGGUCUGAGAGGAUGAUCCGCCACGCUGGGACUGAGACACGGCCCAGACUCCUACGGGAGGCAGCAGGGGGGAAUAUUGGACAAUGGGGGGAACCCUGAUCCAGCCAUGCCGCGUGUGUGAAGAAGGCCUUUUGGUUGUAAAGCACUUUAAGCGAGGAGGAGGCUACCGAGAUUAAUACUCUUGGAUAGUGGACGUUACUCGCAGAAUAAGCACCGGCUAACUCUGUG